RNAcentral lists this ribosomal RNA (758 nucleotides) under uncultured bacterium. Its description in RNAcentral is "bacterial SSU rRNA". It matches the Rfam family "Bacterial small subunit ribosomal RNA", at positions 47 to 805 of the family's 1533-position model. The record is from RNAcentral.
CAGCUUACCAUGCAGUCGAGGGGUAUAGAAGGCUUGCUUCCUAGAGACCGGCAAACGGGUGCGGAACACGUACACAACCUACCUUUAUCAGGGGAAUAGCCCAGAGAAAUUUGGAUUAAUGCCCCAUAGUAUAUUUUGAUGGCAUCAUUAGAAUAUUAAAGAACUUCGGAUAGAGAUGGGUGUGCGUAAGAUUAGCUAGUUGGUAAGGUAACGGCUUACCAAGGCGACGAUCUUUAGCUGAUGUGAGAGCAUGAUCAGCCACACGGGCACUGAGACACGGGCCCGACUCCUACGGGAGGCAGCAGUGAGGAAUAUUGGUCAAUGGACGGAAGUCUGAACCAGCCAUGCCGCGUGAAGGAUGAAGGCGUUCUGCGUUGUAAACUUCUUUUAUCUGAGAAGAAACCACCGAUUUCUAUUGGUGUUGACGGUAUCAGAUGAAUAAGCACCGGCUAACUCCGUGCCAGCAGCCGCGGUAAUACGGAGGGUGCAAGCGUUAUCCGGAUUUACUGGGUUUAAAGGGUGUGUAGGCGGACUUAUAAGUCAGGGGUGAAAUCUCCGAGCUCAACUCGGAAACUGCCUUUGAUACUAUUAGUCUUGAAUUAUGUUGAGGUUGGCGGAAUAUAACAUGUAGCGGUGAAAUGCAUAGAUAUGUUAUAGAACACCGAUUGCGAAGGCAGCUGGCUAAACAUAUAUUGACGCUGAGGCACGAAAGCGUGGGUAGCGAACAGGAUUAGAUACCCUGGUAGUCCACGCCCUAA